This 397-nucleotide ribosomal RNA is filed under the name uncultured bacterium. RNAcentral's name for it is "partial 16S ribosomal RNA". It matches the Rfam family "Bacterial small subunit ribosomal RNA", at positions 360 to 774 of the family's 1533-position model. The record is from RNAcentral.
AAUAUUGCACAAUGGGGGAAACCCUGAUGCAGCGACGCCGCGUGAGUGAAGAAGUAUUUCGGUAUGUAGAGCUCUAUCAGCAGGGAAGAAAAUGACUGUACGUGACUAAUAAGCUCUGGCUAACUACGUGCCAGCAGCCGCGGUAAUACGCAGGGGGCAAGCGUUAUCCGGAUUUACUGGGUGUAAAGGUAGCGGAGGUGGCGAGUCAAGUCAGAUGUGAAAGCCCGGGGCUCAACCCCGGGAUUGCAUUUGAAACUGGUUUGCUAGAGUGCAGGAGAGGUAAGUGGAAUUCCUAGUGUAGCGGUGAAAUGCGUAGAUAUUAGGAGGAACACCAGUGGCGAAGGCGGCUUACUGGACUGUAACUGACACUGAGGCUCGAAAGCGUGGGGAGCAAACA